AGUCGAGCGGCAGCGCGGGGGCAACCCUGGCGGCGAGCGGCGCACGGGUGAGUAAUGCAUCGGAACGUGUCCUCUUGUGGGGGAUAACCAGUCGAAAGACUGGCUAAUACCGCAUGAGAUCGAGAGAUGAAAGCAGGGGACCCGCAAGGGCCUUGCGCGAGAGGAGCGGCCGAUGCCCGAUUAGCUAGUUGGCGGGGUAAUGGCCCACCAAGGCGACGAUCGGUAGCUGGUCUGAGAGGACGACCAGCCACACUGGGACUGAGACACGGCCCAGACUCCUACGGGAGGCAGCAGUGGGGAAUUUUGGACAAUGGGGGCAACCCUGAUCCAGCCAUGCCGCGUGUGUGAAGAAGGCCUUCGGGUUGUAAAGCACUUUCGGACGGAACGAAAUCGCGCGGGCGAAUAUCCCGCGUGGAUGACGGUACCGUAAGAAGAAGCACCGGCUAACUACGUGCCAGCAGCCGCGGUAAUACGGAGGUGGCAAGCGUUGCUCGGAAUCACUGGGCGUAAAGGGCGCGUAGGCGGGGAGGUAAGUCGGGUGUGAAAUCCCUCGGCCCAACCGAGGAACUGCGCCCGAGACUGCUUCUCUUGAGUCCCGGAGAGGAAGAUGGAAUUCCCGGUGUAGCGGUGAAAUGUGUAGAGAUCGGGAGGAACACCGGUGGCGAAGGCGGUCUUCUGGACGGUGACUGACGCUG
This 695-nucleotide ribosomal RNA is filed under the name uncultured Burkholderiaceae bacterium. RNAcentral describes it as "bacterial SSU rRNA". It matches the Rfam family "Bacterial small subunit ribosomal RNA", at positions 60 to 748 of the family's 1533-position model. Lineage: Bacteria; Pseudomonadati; Pseudomonadota; Betaproteobacteria; Burkholderiales; Burkholderiaceae. The record is from RNAcentral.